UCGAGGGGCAUCGGGAGGGAAGCUUGCUUUCCUUGCCGGCGACCGGCGCACGGGUGAGUAACACGUAUGCAACCUGCCCUCUUCAGGGGGACAACCUUCCGAAAGGGAGGCUAAUCCCGCGUAUAUCGGUUUCGGGCAUCCGAGAUCGAGGAAAGAUUCAUCGGAAGAGGAUGGGCAUGCGGCGCAUUAGCUAGACGGCGGGGUAACGGCCCACCGUGGCGACGAUGCGUAGGGGUUCUGAGAGGAAGGUCCCCCACACUGGUACUGAGACACGGACCAGACUCCUACGGGAGGCAGCAGUGAGGAAUAUUGGUAAUGGGAGAGAUCCUGAACCAGCCAAGCCGCGUGAGGGAAGACGGCCCUAUGGGUUGUAAACCUCUUUUGUCGGAGAACAAAACCCGGGACGUGUCCCGGACUGCGUGUAUCCGAAGAAAAAGCAUCGGCUAACUCCGUGCCAGCAGCCGCGGUAAUACGGAGGAUGCGAGCGUUAUCCGGAUUUAUUGGGUUUAAAGGGUGCGUAGGCGGUCCGUUAAGUCAGCGGUAAAAAUUUGCGGGGC
Molecule: ribosomal RNA, 557 nt
Filed under: uncultured bacterium
Lineage: Bacteria
Description: bacterial SSU rRNA
Rfam family: Bacterial small subunit ribosomal RNA
Source: RNAcentral